Molecule: ribosomal RNA, 464 nt
Filed under: uncultured bacterium
Lineage: Bacteria
Description: partial 16S ribosomal RNA
Rfam family: Bacterial small subunit ribosomal RNA
Source: RNAcentral
CUACGGGGGGCUGCAGUGGGGAAUAUUGCACAAUGGGCGCAAGCCUGAUGCAGCCAUGCCGCGUGUAUGAAGAAGGCCUUCGGGUUGUAAAGUACUUUCAGCGGGGAGGAAGGGAGUAAAGUUAAUACCUUUGCUCAUUGACGUUACCCGCAGAAGAAGCACCGGCUAACUCCGUGCCAGCAGCCGCGGUAAUACGGAGAGUGCAAGCGUUAAUCGGAAUUACUGGGCGUAAAGCGCACGCAGGCGGUGUGUUAAGUCAGAUGUGAAAUCCCCGGGCUCAACCUGGGAACUGCAUCUGAUACUGGCAAGCUUGAGUCUCGUAGAGGGGGGUAGAAUUCCAGGUGUAGCGGUGAAAUGCGUAGAGAUCUGGAGGAAUACCGGUGGCGAAGGCGGCCCCCUGGACGAAGACUGACGCUCAGGUGCGAAAGCGUGGGGAGCAAACAGGAUUAGAUACCCGUGUAGUC